GGAAGAAGUAGCCGAGCAGUGGAAGGAAUCCUGGCCUCAAAGUGAGAUAUCUAGAGCUGGCUGUCCAUUUUGCUAUUUACAGGCUUGCUCUGGUACCUGGCAGACGAACUAGCUCAGCCUUGCCACACUUCCCACCAGCUAUGCACGAGGGUGUCUGGAGGCAAAAGCCCGAGAGAGCAGAGGUGGAGACGGCUGAGCACUGUGCUAAGGUCUGGCGGGCACCAACCAAAAGUUCCAGAUGGUGACCAGGAGAGGGCGCCAGGGCCCCACCCCCCAGAGGAAAGGCGUGUAACAAACGGGGGAUAAAGGAACUUCAGAACAGGGGAGUACCUCAGAGAGCCCCCCGCCAACCCCUUCAUUUCACACCAGAGGAGCGGGGCUCCGAGCAGGGAAGUGACUCAUCAGGUCUGGAUUCAGGAGCCCUGAGAGUCCCUCUGCACUUUCAGAAUUGACCUACCUUCCAUUUUAGUCAUAUCGUCUGAUCCGUUAUGUCUCUUUCUCCUUUGUUCAUUCACUCUGAGGACUGAAUCUCCGCUUCAUUAUUUUUAUCACAACGACAUGAUAAAAAAUGAAUAAACCUGUGGCCUGGA
This is a long non-coding RNA of Homo sapiens (human), 590 nucleotides long. RefSeq lists it as uncharacterized. The transcript is spliced from 2 exons. Lineage: Eukaryota; Metazoa; Chordata; Mammalia; Primates; Hominidae. The record is from RefSeq and is a predicted model, not a curated record.